This 352-nucleotide long non-coding RNA is filed under the name Calidris pygmaea (Spoon-billed sandpiper). Its description in RNAcentral is "lncRNA (ENSCPGG00000006171.1)". The record is from RNAcentral. Lineage: Eukaryota; Metazoa; Chordata; Aves; Charadriiformes; Scolopacidae.
AGGAAGGGGGCAGGAUGAGAUGGGACAGGGUUGGAUGUUUUAGAGCCAUUUGUAGGAUGGGUUUAAACAGCUUUUUUUUUUUUUUUUUUUAGGUUUAUUUGUGGGGUUUUUUUUAAGCAAGUCUGCAUGGAAAUGUGUCACCAAUAGCCAGCUGUUUCCAAACAGUUCAGCAUUGCUGGGGUAUUUUUACUGGCUGCAGGCGGAGGGACUGAUCUUGGAAAGAAACUUCAUGUGAAGUCCCCAGCCCAUUUGCAGAUUCAUGUGCUGGUCAAUUUCUGGAUGAGAUUUCACCUUUCUCAGGUGGGUAAAGGUGAUCUCCUCCAUGAGGGCACAGAUCUGAGGUCCUAGUGAG